RNAcentral lists this ribosomal RNA (218 nucleotides) under uncultured bacterium. RNAcentral's name for it is "partial 16S ribosomal RNA". It matches the Rfam family "Bacterial small subunit ribosomal RNA", at positions 116 to 334 of the family's 1533-position model. The record is from RNAcentral.
CGUGAGGAACCUGCCUUGAAGAGGGGGACAACAGUUGGAAACGACUGCUAAUACCGCAUGAAGCAUAGGGGUCGCAUGAUUCUUAUGCCAAAGAUUUAUCGCUUCAAGAUGGCCUCGCGUCUGAUUAGCUGGUUGGCGGGGUAACGGCCCACCAAGGCGAUGAUCAGUAGCCGGUCUGAGAGGAUGAACGGCCACAUUGGGACUGAGACACGGCCCAG